Long non-coding RNA from Anguilla rostrata (American eel), 207 nucleotides. RefSeq lists it as uncharacterized. The transcript has 2 exons. NCBI's taxonomy places the organism in Eukaryota, Metazoa, Chordata, Actinopteri, Anguilliformes, Anguillidae. The record is from RefSeq and is a predicted model, not a curated record.
AACACAUCCUCACAAUCUAGUUCAGAGAGGACGGUCAUCUGAAUCGGUGUCAGUGUGUGCGUAUGUGUGUACAGGUGUGUGUGCAAGUGUAUGUGUACAUGCAUGUGUGUGUGCAGGUUUAUGUGUACAAGCAUGUGUGUGUGCUGGUGCAUGUAUACGUGUGCAUGUGUGUGUGCAGGUGCAUGUGUACGUGUGCAUGUGUGUGUG